CAGAUAAUCAAGAUCAUGAGAUAUUCGAUCCAACAUCCCACUGGCGCUGUUCGCUUCACAAUUUAAUAAUUUAAGCUCGGCUAUUUUUUCCUCACCAUCUGGUUGUUUACGUUCCAUGGUGUUUGCAAUGUCAGCAAGAGUCACGUCGGGCAUUGAAUUCAUUCCAAUUGUCGUCGUAGUUGUUGUUGUCGUUGUCGUUGUUUCAACGUCGGCACUACAUAAAAUUGUCGUCGUACAUUCUGGUGUAACGCUUCGCGAUGGUAGACAAACUUGAACAAUUGGUAUCUCCUGGGACGUUGGAUAUUUGGCAAAGUCACGAAAAGUGGGACGGAGGAAGACUUUGGGUAGGCGGUUAUUUCAUUCAUGUAGUCCCUCAUGUCGAGACUGCCCGCCGCAAUGCCACGUGAUUCCCGAUAUGUCUCAGUGAGAAGAUGCGUUGGCGCCAAAUCGUUCUCCACUUCGGGAUUCAUUUUCGAGCACACUGCGAACGAAAAAUUAUUUAUUGAAUAACUGCUCGAAUACGGCUCAUAAUAAAUAAAAAAUAAUAUUACCAAAAAAAUCAAGCAGGUGAUAAUUUGAAAUUUGCACCUAAUUAUUUCUCAAGAGUAAUUAAACUUGGGAUUCAAGGGUUGAAAGUACCUUUAAUUUGAUCAGAGAUGCAUUCCUCUUCAAUGCCU
Long non-coding RNA from Leptopilina heterotoma, 677 nucleotides. RefSeq lists it as uncharacterized. The transcript has 4 exons. The record is from RefSeq and is a predicted model, not a curated record. Lineage: Eukaryota; Metazoa; Arthropoda; Insecta; Hymenoptera; Figitidae.